UGAGCAAUCUGCCCUUCUCAUCGGAAUAAGCGUUGGAAACGACGUCUAAUGCCGAAUACGACCUCCUUUCGCAUGAUCGGAGGUGGAAAGCUCCGGCGGAGAAGGAUGAGCUCGCGGCCUAUCAGCUAGUUGGUGUGGGUAAUGGCCCACCAAGGCGACGACGGGUAGCUGGUCUGAGAGGAUGAUCAGCCACACUGGGACUGAGACACGGCCCAGACUCCG
This 222-nucleotide ribosomal RNA is filed under the name uncultured bacterium. Its description in RNAcentral is "partial 16S ribosomal RNA". It matches the Rfam family "Bacterial small subunit ribosomal RNA", at positions 118 to 340 of the family's 1533-position model. The record is from RNAcentral.